AGUGAACGCUGGCGGUAGGCCUAACACAUGCGAGUCGAACGGCAGCACAGUAAGAGCUUGCUCUUACGGGUGGCGAGUGGCGGACGGGUGAGGAAUACAUCGGAAUCUACUUUUUCGUGGGGGAUAACGUAGGGAAACUUACGCUAAUACCGCAUACGACCUACGGGUGAAAGCAGGGGAUCUUCGGACCUUGCGCGAUUGAAUGAGCCGAUGUCGGAUUAGCUAGUUGGCGGGGUAAAGGCCCACCAAGGCGACGAUCCGUAGCUGGUCUGAGAGGAUGAUCAGCCACACUGGAACUGAGACACGGUCCAGACUCCUACGGGAGGCAGCAGUGGGGAAUAUUGGACAAUGGGCGCAAGCCUGAUCCAGCCAUACCGCGUGGGUGAAGAAGGCCUUCGGGUUGUAAAGCCCUUUUGUUGGGAAAGAAAAGCAGCAGGUUAAUACCCCGCUGUUUUGACGGUACCCAAAGAAUAAGCACCGGCUAACUUCGUG
RNAcentral lists this ribosomal RNA (492 nucleotides) under uncultured bacterium. Its description in RNAcentral is "partial 16S ribosomal RNA". It matches the Rfam family "Bacterial small subunit ribosomal RNA", at positions 29 to 507 of the family's 1533-position model. The record is from RNAcentral.